GAUGAACGCUGGCGGCGUGCCUAAUACAUGCAAGUCGAGCGAACGGACGAGAAGCUUGCUUCUCUGAUGUUAGCGGCGGAGGGGUGAGUAACACGUGGAUAACCUACCUAUAAGACUGGGAUAACUUCGGGAAACCGGAGCUAAUACCGGAUAAUAUUUUGAACCGCAUGGUUCAAAAGUGAAAGACGGUCUUGCUGUCACUUAUAGAUGGAUCCGCGCUGCAUUAGCUAGUUGGUAAGGUAACGGCUUACCAAGGCAACGAUGCAUAGCCGACCUGAGAGGGUGAUGAGCCACACUGGAAAUGAGACACGGUCCAAACUCCGACGGAUGCAGCAGUAGGGCAUCUUCCGCAAUGGGCGAAAGCCUGACGGAGCAACGCCGCGUGAGUGAUGAAGGUCUUCUGAUCGUAAAACUCUGUUAUUAGGGAAUAACCUAUGUGUAAGUAACUGUGCACAUCUUGACGGUACCUAAUCAGAAAGCCACGGCUAACUACGUG
This 496-nucleotide ribosomal RNA is filed under the name uncultured bacterium. RNAcentral describes it as "partial 16S ribosomal RNA". It matches the Rfam family "Bacterial small subunit ribosomal RNA", at positions 28 to 507 of the family's 1533-position model. The record is from RNAcentral.